Non-coding RNA from Pelobates cultripes (western spadefoot toad), 550 nucleotides. NCBI's taxonomy places the organism in Eukaryota, Metazoa, Chordata, Amphibia, Anura, Pelobatidae. The record is from the annotation of a GenBank genome assembly.
CUUGAUAUUGACAUUGUCUAAACUGGACAGCAUGGAGUGCCUGCCUGCCUUAAUGCCUGGGGACUUCUCAGUGAUUUUCUCAGCUUGUAUAGAGGGAUCUUCCAGGACAGACCACCAGUCUUCACUAGGAAUUGGCUAGUUGUCAUGAAACCCUAUGUGGCCCUACCCCGAUUUGCUUACUUGUCUAGCAUCAUGGCAUUGCCAAACGCUACCCUUGACAAUCAGCAUCUCCUCAUAUAAAUGCAUUGAAUCAAUGCAUCUCUAUGGGGAAAGUUCAGUGUCUCCAUGCAGAGCGUGGAGACGCUAAACGUCAGUGAUGCACAGUAUGGUGGUGUCACUGGAGGUGUCCCUAGACAGCAAUGUAAACACUGCCUUUUCUCUGAAAACCAGUGUUUACAACAAAAUGCCUGCAGGGAAUGACUGUACUCACCAGAACAACUAUAUUAAGCUGUGGUUGUUCUGGUGACUAUAGUGUCCCUUUAAGAAAAUGAAAAAGUCUUCUCUUUUUGUGCAAUACAUUUGUGAAAUUUCCUCAUUUACAAAGUAUGCU